RNAcentral lists this ribosomal RNA (611 nucleotides) under uncultured yard-trimming-compost bacterium. Its description in RNAcentral is "bacterial SSU rRNA". It matches the Rfam family "Bacterial small subunit ribosomal RNA", at positions 38 to 646 of the family's 1533-position model. The record is from RNAcentral.
GGCGGCAUGCCUUACACAUGCAAGUCGAACGGCAGCGCGGGGCAACCUGGCGGCGAGUGGCGAACGGGUGAGUAAUAUAUCGGAACGUGCCCUAGAGUGGGGGAUAACGUAGCGAAAGUUACGCUAAUACCGCAUACGAUCUACGGAUGAAAGUGGGGGAUCGCAAGACCUCAUGCUCAUGGAGCGGCCGAUAUCUGAUUAGCUAGUUGGUAGGGUAAAAGCCUACCAAGGCUUCGAUCAGUAGCUGGUCUGAGAGGACGACCAGCCACACUGGGACUGAGACACGGCCCAGACUCCUACGGGAGGCAGCAGUGGGGAAUUUUGGACAAUGGGCGCAAGCCUGAUCCAGCAAUGCCGCGUGAGUGAAGAAGGCCUUCGGGUUGUAAAGCUCUUUUGUCAGGGAAGAAACGGUUUCUCCUAAUACGGGGGACUAAUGACGGUACCUGAAGAAUAAGCACCGGCUAACUACGUGCCAGCAGCCGCGGUAAUACGUAGGGUGCAAGCGUUAAUCGGAAUUACUGGGCGUAAAGCGUGCGCAGGCGGUUUGGUAAGACGGAUGUGAAAUCCCUGGGCUUAACCUAGGAAUUGCAUUCGUGACUGCCCGGCUAGAG